RNAcentral lists this unclassified non-coding RNA (1113 nucleotides) under Bombus terrestris (buff-tailed bumblebee). Its description in RNAcentral is "misc RNA ENSBTSG00005034773.1". The record is from RNAcentral. Lineage: Eukaryota; Metazoa; Arthropoda; Insecta; Hymenoptera; Apidae.
GGGUUUUCGUGACUAAACAUAAAUAUCAGUUAUUUAAUUUCACCAAAAAUAUAUAAAGGUGUUUAUCUAUGGUACACAGAAUUUUUAUUCGAAAGCUUUGAUGUGGAGUUCCACCGUACUUGUUGCAUAGAGGAUUCUAUCUUCUAUACCAUUAUUACUUAAAUCGGUCUAUAGUAAUCAGAAAAAAGUUUUCAUCGUCGAUAAUGGUUACUGUUUCUUGUUUAUGGAUUGUGCUUGUUGUUUGGUUGAUAAGUCUGAACAUGAAUCUUCGAUGAAUUUUUCUUUGGAGCAGCAUUGAGAUGAACUGCAGUGCUCGCCAUGACAACGUAUCAAGCAAUCGGCUUUUUCCCUAUUUGGUCUCAACUGUUAAAUUAAGAAUUGAUAAAAUAAAGAAAAUAUGACUAAUCAUCUAAGAAGGAGGGAACAAAGGACCAAAAACUGAUGGUUAGGUUCAGACGUGCAAACAAUGAGCAAGGAAACAAAUUUUAAUUUGAAAGAGAAAAAACGAAGAUGUGGACUGUAUGAGGGAGAAAAAGAAGUUGUAGACUACUGAAGAAUAGAUGCAAGAAAAUGAAGGCAGAAAGAAGAGGAGGAGAAAGAAUAUGUAUUAGAGAAAUGCGGUUCAAAAAAAGGCUGGAUAAAGAAAAUAAGUAGGAAAAUAAAGAAAAGGGAAGGGGAGUAGGGAGAAUAGAAAAGUAUGGAGAGGAAGCAUACGAAAAGGAUAGAGAAUGAAUUAAAAUAACUGAUAGAGAAAGAACCAUGCAAAGAAAAGGAAUGCUGUAUAAUGCAUUACUAAAAAUAAUAGGAAUAAAUGGCGAACAAGACUAUAGAUAAUUUAGGUCUCAAGACAAACAAUUAUAUUUACUAUAUGUAGACGUAUAUAGGUUAUGUUAAAAGCAAAUAUAAGGAUGUAAAACCAAACCCCUUCAAGGCCCGAAAGAGCAAAUGAGCUAUCAAUAAAUGAUACUAUCUGUGGAUUAUAAUAUAAUAAUAAAAAUAAUCAUGAAAAUGAUAUGAAUUGUAUAACUUAUUGUAACUAUUACUUUUUAUAACGAUAAAUCACUAACAUUAAUUUAUUUCUAAUUAGUUUAUAAGGUUGUAAAUAAUUGCGUU